GCCCCGGUAGCUCAGCCUGGUUGGAGCGCUCGCUUGGUAAGCGAGAGGUCCCGGGUUCGAAAGGGUCGUCCCCGAGCGUCCCGGCCGGGGCUCCA
Molecule: transfer RNA, 95 nt
Filed under: Thermoproteus uzoniensis 768-20
Lineage: Archaea; Thermoproteati; Thermoproteota; Thermoprotei; Thermoproteales; Thermoproteaceae
Description: tRNA-Thr
Rfam family: tRNA
About the family: Transfer RNA (tRNA) molecules are approximately 80 nucleotides in length. Their secondary structure includes four short double-helical elements and three loops (D, anti-codon, and T loops). Further hydrogen bonds mediate the characteristic L-shaped molecular structure. tRNAs have two regions of fundamental functional importance: the anti-codon, which is responsible for specific mRNA codon recognition, and the 3' end, to which the tRNAs corresponding amino acid is attached (by aminoacyl-tRNA synthetases). tRNAs cope with the degeneracy of the genetic code in two manners: having more than one tRNA (with a specific anti-codon) for a particular amino acid; and 'wobble' base-pairing, i.e. permitting non-standard base-pairing at the 3rd anti-codon position.
Source: RNAcentral